GUCUACGGCCAUGCCACCCUGAACAAGCCCGAUCCCAUCUGAUCUCGGAAGCUAAGCAGGGUUGGGCCUGGUUAGUACUUGGAUGGGAGAGCACCUAGGAAGACCAGGUGCUGUAGGCG
This 119-nucleotide ribosomal RNA is filed under the name Pteropus alecto (black flying fox). Lineage: Eukaryota; Metazoa; Chordata; Mammalia; Chiroptera; Pteropodidae. The record is from RNAcentral.